This 85-nucleotide transfer RNA is filed under the name Rhodococcus phage Grayson. Its description in RNAcentral is "tRNA-Leu". It matches the Rfam family "tRNA". From Rfam's summary of the family: Transfer RNA (tRNA) molecules are approximately 80 nucleotides in length. Lineage: Duplodnaviria; Heunggongvirae; Uroviricota; Caudoviricetes. The record is from RNAcentral.
GGCGCAGUGGUGAAAUUGGCAAACACGCUGGAUUCAAAAUCCAGUGCUCGAAAGAGUUUACGGGUUCAAGUCCCGUCUGCGCUAC